AUAACUGGCUUGUGACAGCCAUUAGCGACGUUGCUUUUUGAUCCUUCGAUCAGGGCUAUUCCUGUCAUUGCGAAACAGAACUCGCCGCCAAUCGUUGCCCACCAAUAGGGGUCGUGAGCUGAGCUUUGACCGCUGUGAGACAGGUU
This 146-nucleotide non-coding RNA is filed under the name Gongylonema pulchrum. Its description in RNAcentral is "Eukaryotic large subunit ribosomal RNA". It matches the Rfam family "Eukaryotic large subunit ribosomal RNA", at positions 2826 to 2984 of the family's 3401-position model. The record is from Rfam by way of RNAcentral. Lineage: Eukaryota; Metazoa; Nematoda; Chromadorea; Rhabditida; Gongylonematidae.